AGGCCAUAUCAGGUUAAAAGACCUUUUCCCCGUACGUACACCGAAGUUAAGCAUGAUCGAGUCUGGUCAGUACCUCGAUGGGUAACCGCUUGGGAAUACCAGGUUUUGUAAG
Acanthosepion pharaonis is the source of this 112-nucleotide non-coding RNA. Lineage: Eukaryota; Metazoa; Mollusca; Cephalopoda; Sepiida; Sepiidae. The record is from the annotation of a GenBank genome assembly.